GUUGAUGUAGCUUAAUUUGCCAAAGCAAGGUACUGAAAAUACCAAGAUGAGUCUCCUGACUCCAUAAACA
RNAcentral lists this transfer RNA (70 nucleotides) under Galeopterus variegatus (Sunda flying lemur). RNAcentral describes it as "transfer RNA-Phe". The record is from RNAcentral. Lineage: Eukaryota; Metazoa; Chordata; Mammalia; Dermoptera; Cynocephalidae.